Molecule: ribosomal RNA, 789 nt
Filed under: Domibacillus iocasae
Lineage: Bacteria; Bacillati; Bacillota; Bacilli; Caryophanales; Bacillaceae
Description: bacterial SSU rRNA
Rfam family: Bacterial small subunit ribosomal RNA
Source: RNAcentral
UCAGCGGCGGACGGGUGAGUAACACGUGGGCAACCUGCCUUGCAGAUUGGGAUAACUCCGGGAAACCGGGGCUAAUACCGAAUAACAUUGAGAGCNNCAUGGUUUUCUUUUGAAAGGCGGCUUCGGCUGUCACUGCUGGAUGGGCCCGCGGCGCAUUAGCUAGUUGGUGGGGUAACGGCCCACCAAGGCAACGAUGCGUAGCCGACCUGAGAGGGUGAUCGGCCACACUGGGACUGAGACACGGCCCAGACUCCUACGGGAGGCAGCAGUAGGGAAUCUUCCGCAAUGGACGAAAGUCUGACGGAGCAACGCCGCGUGAGUGAAGAAGGUUUUCGGAUCGUAAAACUCUGUUGUCAGGGAAGAACAAGUAUGGGAGUAACUGCCCGUACCUUGACGGUACCUGACCAGAAAGCCACGGCUAACUACGUGCCAGCAGCCGCGGUAAUACGUAGGUGGCAAGCGUUGUCCGGAAUUAUUGGGCGUAAAGCGCGCGCAGGCGGCCUUUUAAGUCUGAUGUGAAAGCCCCCGGCUCAACCGGGGAGGGUCAUUGGAAACUGGAAGGCUUGAGUGCAGAAGAGAAGAGCGGAAUUCCACGUGUAGCGGUGAAAUGCGUAGAGAUGUGGAGGAACACCAGUGGCGAAGGCGGCUCUUUGGUCUGUAACUGACGCUGAGGCGCGAAAGCGUGGGGAGCGAACAGGAUUAGAUACCCUGGUAGUCCACGCCGUAAACGAUGAGUGCUAAGUGUUGGGGGGUUUCCGCCCCUCAGUGCUGCAGCUAACGCAUUAAGCA